This is a long non-coding RNA of Salvia miltiorrhiza (redroot sage), 1037 nucleotides long. RefSeq lists it as uncharacterized. The transcript has 2 exons. The record is from RefSeq and is a predicted model, not a curated record. NCBI's taxonomy places the organism in Eukaryota, Viridiplantae, Streptophyta, Magnoliopsida, Lamiales, Lamiaceae.
GUUCUUGAUACCCAAACACCCUGAAAAUUUUAUGGUAAGUAUAUUUGAGAGUCUUGAGAAUACCGGUAAAAUUUCAAGUCAUUUGGACUUCGUUUGCUAUUUUUAUAAAAUGUAAAACUAAAACUGCUACGUUCUGCCGAAUUGUUCGGUGAGUAGCCAAUAGAGUCAUCGUUUCCAGUAGCUUUCCUUAGCAUUCUGGAACCCAAAUUUUUAUGGUUGAGACCUGAGUGUCUUAGCUAAGUUACCACAAAAUUUCAGAUCGUUUUGACAACGUUUACUAUUUUUAAAAAAUAAAACUUUUCGAUUGCUAAAAACUGCCGAAUAUGGUAGACUGUAGUAAAACAGUCAUAUCUCCUAAAAUACUUGGAGUUUUUGAUCCUACUUUUUUUAAAUGAAACUAGACUCAAAGAGGUUUCUUUUGGUAUAAGUUACGACCCCAGGAGAGUUCUGUACAGAGUCUGGUGAGGUUUUAAAGUUGAGUCAGUGCAGAGUAAAGCUUGUUUUCGACUUGUCUAUGUGUGUUUUUAAUAUGCUUAAGUGUUUAUACUUGUUUAUGUGCUUGUUUGCUAUGAGUUUGAGUCGAGUUGAGAGUUAAGUCGAAAAUUGGACGUGUGAAUCCUUAGAAGCCGAGUAUACCUAGGGAUUGAGUUAUAACGGGUAAAUAGACGUUGAGUGAGAAGUUAAAGUAAAGAAGAGAUUGGAUUUGGAAAUUGAGUUCUGACUAAGGUUUGUUUUAUCACAUGAACCUUCGAUGACGAUGACGAUGUGAUGAUGACAUAUGAAGGCCCGAGCGAGACGAAGAAGUAAGUUGCCUGAUUUCUUUCCAGAAUAAGCGAAGGACUUCAGGCUAAGCGAGGAGCGAGAUUGGUCUGGUGCUAGUGGGGGAAACGUUUCAAUCGAUGUAAUUAUGUUUUCGUAUUGCCUUCAUGUUAAUAGAGUCUUGAGGAUUGAGAUACUUUGUUUUCUUUUGAAAUCAAGCAAUUUACUCACGGUUAUGUGUCUUCAUACAUGUAAUCGAUUCGCCUUUUGCUGCGAUA